This 405-nucleotide long non-coding RNA is filed under the name Marmota monax (woodchuck). The record is from RNAcentral. Lineage: Eukaryota; Metazoa; Chordata; Mammalia; Rodentia; Sciuridae.
GUGCCGCGGCCGCCUCGGCCCCCUCGGCCCGCGCGCCGCGGCGAAGUUGCUCCGGGCGGGGUCCCCGCCGCGCAGACCUCCCGGCCCGGGCCGGCGGCGCGGUGGGUGCGCGCUCCAGGUGUCCAGCGGGGUGCAGAUGCGGCCACCGAGAACUCUUUGUGCCGCGUCGGAAGAGGGCUCGCGCCGCGGCUGCCUCUUCAGGCUGUUGGGUCCAGCGACGUGGGGCGUGUGGAGCGCUUAUCGGAGCGCCAGACCCCUGCGCGUCCCGGCAAACCGCCCGCGGGGUUUGCGAGCGAUACGGAGGUGUGCGGCGGGGGCCGCGCGGACGGAAGCGGACCUACCUGCGCGGUGGGCUCCUGGGGCAGGAACGCGCUCGCCCGCCGCCCGCCGCCCGCCUCCCGCGCU